Molecule: long non-coding RNA, 993 nt
Organism: Hypanus sabinus (Atlantic stingray)
Lineage: Eukaryota; Metazoa; Chordata; Chondrichthyes; Myliobatiformes; Dasyatidae
Exons: 3
Source: RefSeq, a predicted model, not a curated record
CGUUCGCCACAAUGACGUUUGCGAAUUCUCGCGGCGAUCAGCUCAAUAUCUCUUUCACAAACGAAGAUCUUUGUACUCAUCUUGCGUUAAUGUAGACAGCGAGUCCCCCUCCUUUCUUCUUCCCGCACUUUUUGGCAUCUCUGUCAGGUCUUACCGUAGUAAAACCAGGAAAGCCAAUUCUGGAUCCACAAGGCAAGGUCUUCUUGGAUCCCAUGCUUCAUUACCUUCUGAGGAACAGAGUCUAUAGAAGUGAGGAAGAGUGACAUCAACUUCAUGGACCUUCUACAGAUUGCAGCCAAGGAGGUGUUUGCUGUCCAGACUCAAAUCAGGGUGGAUUGGACCCUGUGGAAGGUGUUACUAAUGUGCCACAACUCUGAGGGGCCAAAGUGUACAAAGUAGCCCCCUUCUUUUUGAGAAUCACAAGAUCGCUAUUAAUUCGGGUCUGGGACCCAGGAAAUGAGAGAGAGAGAGAUUCAAAAUACACAGGGUUUGGAAUGUGUCCUGGCCUCAGCGAGACAAAGUCCCGGAUAAGGGCCAUUAUCUCUUGGAGACGGAAUUGUGUAUUGAGUACUGUACUAUUCAUUGAAACCCCUCAGGGGGUAACCAGAGUGGGCUGGUUGAGGGAUUGCAUCAUCCCAACCUGAUUGACAUCUGAGACCCCUUGAGUAAGGAUAAAAGAGGGUCUGGGGAACCCCUUUAGACACACCAGGAGAAACGUUAGAAAUCCCGUGACAGCGUUUAAUAGCGACAGCCAGUGAGGCUCACAUGCAUCCUGUUCCCUUGCCUGGGAAUUGGCGGGCUCACCACGGAAGAACGGCUUUAGCUAAAGGAGAGGCCACAAGUGACCGGCCACACCAACGGAACUCUCGAAGGUUCAAAAUCAUAAAAAGGAAAAGCCGGCAAGUUUCUAAAAAUCUCUCUCUUGACUCCAACCAAAGGCUGCAGCCUGCAUGAACUGAGUGACUUUUAUAUUUCCAUCGGACAAUACAUUAU